CCUACGGGAGGCAGCAGUGAGGAAUAUUGGUCAAUGGUCUGGCGACUGAACCAGCCAAGCCGCGUGAGGGAGGAAGGUCCAGAGUAUCGUAAACCUCUUUUGUCAGGGAACAAAGGCGGGUACGUGUCCCCGGAUUAAUGUAACUGAAGCAAAAGCAUCGGCUAACUCCGUGCCAGCAGCCGCAGUAAUACGGAGGAUGCGAGCGUUAUCCGGAUUUAUUGGGUUUAAAGGGUGCGCAGGCGGGCUGUUAAGUCAGCGGUCAAAGCCCGGGGCUCAACCCCGCCCCGCCGUUGAAACUGGCAGUCUUGAGUUGGAGAGAAGUAUGCGGAAUGCGCGGUGUAGCGGUGAAAUGCAUAGAUAUCGCGCAGAACUCCGAUUGCGAAGGCAGCAUGCUGGCUCCACACUGACGCUGAGGCACGAAAGCGUGGGUAUCGAACAGGAUUAGAUACCCUUGUAGUC
This 459-nucleotide ribosomal RNA is filed under the name uncultured bacterium. RNAcentral describes it as "partial 16S ribosomal RNA". It matches the Rfam family "Bacterial small subunit ribosomal RNA", at positions 338 to 795 of the family's 1533-position model. The record is from RNAcentral.